This 519-nucleotide ribosomal RNA is filed under the name uncultured bacterium. RNAcentral describes it as "partial 16S ribosomal RNA". It matches the Rfam family "Bacterial small subunit ribosomal RNA", at positions 28 to 507 of the family's 1533-position model. The record is from RNAcentral.
GACGAACGCUGGCGGCGUGCCUAAUACAUGCAAGUCGAGCGAGUCUGCCUUGAAGAUCGGAGUGCUUGCACUCUGUGAAACAAGAUACAGGCUAGCGGCGGACGGGUGAGUAACACGUGGGUAACCUGCCCAAGAGAUCGGGAUAACACCUGGAAACAGAUGCUAAUACCAGAUAACAACAGAUGAUGCCUAUCAACUGUUUAAAAGAUGGUUCUGCUAUCACUCUUGGAUGGACCUGCGGUGCAUUAGCUAGUUGGUAGGGUAACGGCCUACCAAGGCGAUGAUGCAUAGCCGAGUUGAGAGACUGAUCGGCCACAUUGGGACUGAGACACGGCCCAAACUCCUACGGGAGGCAGCAGUAGGGAAUCUUCCACAAUGGACGCAAGUCUGAUGGAGCAACGCCGCGUGAGUGAAGAAGGGUUUCGGCUCGUAAAGCUCUGUUGUUGGUGAAGAAGGACAGGGGUAGUAACUGACCUUUGUUUGACGGUAAUCAAUUAGAAAGUCACGGCUAACUACGUG